Molecule: long non-coding RNA, 393 nt
Organism: Hippoglossus stenolepis (Pacific halibut)
Lineage: Eukaryota; Metazoa; Chordata; Actinopteri; Pleuronectiformes; Pleuronectidae
Exons: 3
Source: RefSeq, a predicted model, not a curated record
CAACUAACCAACCUACUGGGAGUUUAACUGGUUCAGCUGGAGUCACUCUGUCUGUCACAGAUUUGCAUGUGCAGGUGAGCACAUCAGUGAAGGGUGACUCUUAUAACCGGGCAGAGCUCAGGUGUCAGAGCAGUUGUCGUCUUCCUGAUCCUCUGAACUACGUCUGGUACAAGAAUCAACAGCAGAUGAAGGAAGGAGCAUCUUAUACAGAUACAUUUUAUCAUACAGACAGAGUUUCCUGUGCUGUUAAAGGACACGAGGAUUUCCGCUCUCCGUCAAUGUUGGUAAGGAGUCAGAUUGACUGGGGUGUGAGUUGCACUUCUACUGAGAUCUGUGCCAUCAGAGGAUCAACAGUGGACAUUACCUGUACUCACACAUACCCAUCCAUGUUGA